GUAGGGUGCGAGCGUUAAUCGGAAUUACUGGGCGUAAAGGGUGCGCAGGCGGUUCUGCAAGUCAGGCGUGAAAGCCCCGGGCUUAACCUGGGAAUGGCGCUUGAAACUACAGGACUGGAGUAUGGCAGAGGGAGGUGGAAUUCCACGUGUAGCGGUGAAAUGCGUAGAGAUGUGGAGGAACACCGAUGGCGAAGGCAGCCUCCUGGGCCAAUACUGACGCUCAUGCACGAAAGCGUGGGGAGCAAACAGGAUUAGAUACCCUGGUAGUCCACGCCCUAAACGAUGAUGACUAGUUGUUGGAGGAGUUAAAUCCUUUAGUAACGCAGCUAACGCGCGAAGUCAUCCGCCUGGGGAGUACGGUCGCAAGAUUA
Molecule: ribosomal RNA, 371 nt
Filed under: uncultured bacterium
Lineage: Bacteria
Description: bacterial SSU rRNA
Rfam family: Bacterial small subunit ribosomal RNA
Source: RNAcentral